Molecule: ribosomal RNA, 460 nt
Filed under: uncultured bacterium
Lineage: Bacteria
Description: partial 16S ribosomal RNA
Rfam family: Bacterial small subunit ribosomal RNA
Source: RNAcentral
CCUACGGGCGGCAGCAGUGAGGAAUAUUGGUCAAUGGGCGAGAGCCUGAACCAGCCAAGUCGCGUGAAGGAUGACGGCCCUACGGGUUUUAAACUUCUUUUGUCGGGGAGCCAUUGGGUCCACGCGUGGGCUUAGCGAGAGUACCUGAAGAAAAAGCAUCGGCUAACUCCGUGCCAGCAGCCGCGGUAAUACGGAGGAUGCGAGCGUUAUCCGGAUUUAUUGGGUUUAAAGGUUGCGUAGGCGGAAUAUCAAGUCAGCGGGAAAAAUUCGGGGCUAAACCCCGUCGUGCCGUUGAAACUGAUGUUCUGGAGUGUGCGAGAAGUAUGCGGAAUGCGUGGUGUAGCGGUGAAAUGCAUAGAUAUCAAGAAGAAUUCUGAUUGCGAAGGCAGCAUACCGGAGCCCAACUGACGCUGAAGCACGAAAGCGUGGGUAUCGAACAGGAUUAGAUACCCGAGUAGUC